Molecule: ribosomal RNA, 253 nt
Filed under: uncultured bacterium
Lineage: Bacteria
Description: partial 16S ribosomal RNA
Rfam family: Bacterial small subunit ribosomal RNA
Source: RNAcentral
AACGUAGGGGGCGAGCGUUGUCCGGAAUUAUUGGGCGUAAAGCGUUCGCAGGUGGCUGUUCAAGUCUGCUGUCAAAGACCGGGGCUUAACCCCAGAAAGGCAGUGGAAACUGAACGGCUGGAGUGCAGUAUGGGUAGAGGGAAUUCCCAGUGUAGCGGUGAAAUGCGUAGAGAUUGGGAAGAACACCGGUGGCGAAAGCGCUCUGCUGGACUGCAACUGACACUGAGGGACGAAAGCUAGGGGAGCGAAAGGG